This 77-nucleotide transfer RNA is filed under the name Chloroflexota bacterium. RNAcentral's name for it is "Chloroflexi bacterium (permafrost metagenome) tRNA-Arg". It matches the Rfam family "tRNA". Rfam says of the family: Transfer RNA (tRNA) molecules are approximately 80 nucleotides in length. Their secondary structure includes four short double-helical elements and three loops (D, anti-codon, and T loops). Further hydrogen bonds mediate the characteristic L-shaped molecular structure. tRNAs have two regions of fundamental functional importance: the anti-codon, which is responsible for specific mRNA codon recognition, and the 3' end, to which the tRNAs corresponding amino acid is attached (by aminoacyl-tRNA synthetases). tRNAs cope with the degeneracy of the genetic code in two manners: having more than one tRNA (with a specific anti-codon) for a particular amino acid; and 'wobble' base-pairing, i.e. permitting non-standard base-pairing at the 3rd anti-codon position. The record is from RNAcentral. Lineage: Bacteria; Bacillati; Chloroflexota.
GUCCCCAUAGCUCAAUUGGAUAGAGCGUUGGCCUCCGAAGCCAAAGGUUAGAGGUUCGACUCCUCUUGGGGACGCCA